GAUCCCAUCAGAACUCCGAAGUUAAGCGUGCUUGGGCGAGAGUAGUACUAGGAUGGGUGAUCCCCUGGGAAGUCCUCGUGUUGCACCC
Molecule: ribosomal RNA, 88 nt
Filed under: Panax quinquefolius
Lineage: Eukaryota; Viridiplantae; Streptophyta; Magnoliopsida; Apiales; Araliaceae
Source: RNAcentral